UGGGGAAUAUUGCACAAUGGGCGCAAGCCUGAUGCAGCCAUGCCGCGUGUGUGAAGAAGGCCUUCGGGUUGUAAAGCACUUUCAGCGAGGAGGAAGGUGGUGAACUUAAUACGUUCAUCAAUUGACGUUACUCGCAGAAGAAGCACCGGCUAACUCCGUGCCAGCAGCCGCGGUAAUACGGAGGGUGCAAGCGUUAAUCGGAAUUACUGGGCGUAAAGCGCACGCAGGCGGUUUGUUAAGUCAGAUGUGAAAUCCCCGGGCUCAACCUGGGAACUGCAUUUGAAACUGGCAAGCUAGAGUCUCGUAGAGGGGGGUAGAAUUCCAGGUGUAGCGGUGAAAUGCGUAGAGAUCUGGAGGAAUACCGGUGGCGAAGGCGGCCCCCCUGGACGAAGACUGACGCUCAGGUGCGAAAGCGUGGGGAGCAAACAGGAUUAGAUACCCCUGGUAGUCCACGCUGUAAACGAUGUCGAUUUGGAGGUUGUGCCCUUGAGGCGUGGCUUCCGGAGCUAACGCGUUAAAUCGACCG
RNAcentral lists this ribosomal RNA (526 nucleotides) under uncultured bacterium. RNAcentral describes it as "partial 16S ribosomal RNA". It matches the Rfam family "Bacterial small subunit ribosomal RNA", at positions 355 to 871 of the family's 1533-position model. The record is from RNAcentral.